GCACGGAAGGCUCCGUGCUUCCGAUAGCAUAGUAGCCUCACUCUAUAUAUAUAUAUAUAUAUAUAUAUAUAUAUAUAUAUAUAUAUAUAUAUAUAUAUAUAUAUAUAUAUAUAUAUAGAGAGAGAGAGAGAGAGAGAGAGAGAGAGUCCAACUACUAUACUAUCGAUCCAUAGUAUUAAGCUCUGAGUACUAUCGAAUUUUCUAUCGUUAAAUUUAUUCUUUGAUCAUUUUCACCCGUUAGAUUAUACUAUUCAACUAACCAUCCGCUCAAUCCUAAAAAAUUAUUAUCAUCGUAAUCAGAUACCACUGUCAUCCUAACCGCACAUUCUUUCAUCCAACGGUCGAAAACUCAAUAACACCAAGUGCUUGAUACUAUCGAUAGUAUAGUAGCAUAUAUAUAUAUAUAUAUAU
RNAcentral lists this long non-coding RNA (411 nucleotides) under Ananas comosus (pineapple). RNAcentral's name for it is "long non-coding RNA (ACOM_LNC040551)". Lineage: Eukaryota; Viridiplantae; Streptophyta; Magnoliopsida; Poales; Bromeliaceae. The record is from RNAcentral.